UCGGAAUUACUGGGCGUAAAGCGCAUGCAGGUGGUUUGUUAAGUCAGAUGUGAAAGCCCGGGGCGUUAACCUCGGAAUAGCAUUUGAAACUGGCAGACUAGAGUACUGUAGAGGGGGGUAGGAAUUUCAGGUGUAGCGGUGAAAUGCGUAGAGAUCUGAAGGAAUACCGGUGGCGAAGGCGGCCCCCUCGGACAGAUACUGACACUCAGAUGCGAAAGCGUGGGGAGCAAACAGGAUUAGAUACCCUGGUAG
This 252-nucleotide ribosomal RNA is filed under the name uncultured bacterium. RNAcentral describes it as "partial 16S ribosomal RNA". It matches the Rfam family "Bacterial small subunit ribosomal RNA", at positions 545 to 793 of the family's 1533-position model. The record is from RNAcentral.